AGUGAACGCUGGCGGUAGGCCUAACACAUGCAAGUCGAACGGCAGCACAGUAAGAGCUUGCUCUUACGGGUGGCGAGUGGCGGACGGGUGAGGAAUACAUCGGAAUCUACUUUUUCGUGGGGGAUAACGUAGGGAAACUUACGCUAAUACCGCAUACGACCUACGGGUGAAAGCAGGGGAUCUUCGGACCUUGCGCGAUUGAAUGAGCCGAUGUCGGAUUAGCUAGUUGGCGGGGUAAAGGCCCACCAAGGCGACGAUCCGUAGCUGGUCUGAGAGGAUGAUCAGCCACACUAGAACUGAGACACGGUCCAGACUCCUACGGGAGGCAGCAGUGGAGAAUAUUGGACAAUGGGCGCAAGCCUGAUCCAGCCAUACCGCGUGGGUGAAGAAGGCCUUCGGGUUGUAAAGCCCUUUUGUUGGGAAAGAAAAGCAGCAGGUUAAUACCCCGCUGUUCUGACGGUACCCAAAGAAUAAGCACCGGCUAACUUCGUG
This 492-nucleotide ribosomal RNA is filed under the name uncultured bacterium. Its description in RNAcentral is "partial 16S ribosomal RNA". It matches the Rfam family "Bacterial small subunit ribosomal RNA", at positions 29 to 507 of the family's 1533-position model. The record is from RNAcentral.